CCUACGGGAUGCUGCAGUGAGGAAUAUUGGUCAAUGGACGCAAGUCUGAACCAGCCAUGCCGCGUGCAGGAAGACUGCUCUAUGAGUUGUACACUGCUUUUGUACGAGGGUAAAUACCGAUACGUGUAUCGGGUUGAAAGUAUCUUACGAAUAAGGAUCGGCUAACUCCGUGCCAGCAGCCGCGGUAAUACGGAGGAGUCAAGCGUUAUCCGGGUUUGUUGGGUUGAAUGGGGUCGUAGGCGGUUGGAUAAGUGAGAGGUGAAAGCCCGGGGCUCAACUGCGGAACGGCAUCUGAUACUGGCUGGCUAGAGUUUAGUUGCGGUAGGCGGAAUUGAUGGUGUAGCGGUGAAAUGCAUAGAGAUCAUACAGAACACCGAUUGCGAAGGCAGCUUACCAAACUACGACUGACGUUGAGGCACGAAAGCGUGGGGAGCAAACAGGAUUAGAUACCCGUGUAGUC
Molecule: ribosomal RNA, 460 nt
Filed under: uncultured bacterium
Lineage: Bacteria
Description: partial 16S ribosomal RNA
Rfam family: Bacterial small subunit ribosomal RNA
Source: RNAcentral